ACGAACUGGUGGGACUACUGCAUG
This 24-nucleotide non-coding RNA is filed under the name Arabidopsis thaliana (thale cress). The record is from RNAcentral. Lineage: Eukaryota; Viridiplantae; Streptophyta; Magnoliopsida; Brassicales; Brassicaceae.